UAAACUCUGUUUCUAUAUGUAACUUCUGAGUAAAACCAUAAAUAAAUCAAAACUUUCAACAACGGAUCUCUUGGUUCUGGCAUCGAUGAAGAACGCAGCAAAAUGCGAUAAGUAAUGUGAAUUGCAGAAUUCAGUGAAUCAUCGAAUCUUUGAACGCACAUUGCGCCCGCCAGUAUUCUGGCGGGCAUGCCUGUUCGAGCGUCAUUUCAACCCUCAAGCCCCCGGGUUUGGUGUUGGGGAUCGGCGAGCCCUCGCGGCAAGCCGGCCCCGAAAUCUAGUGGCGGUCUCGCUGCAGCUUCCAUUGCGUAGUAGUAAAACCCUCGCAACUGGUACGCGGCGCGGCCAAGCCGUUAAACCCCCAACUUCUGAAUGUUGACCUCGGAUCAGGUAGGAAUACCCGCUGAACUUAAGCAUAUCAAUAAG
This 423-nucleotide ribosomal RNA is filed under the name Nectriaceae sp. nc_besc_319controla. Its description in RNAcentral is "eukaryotic LSU rRNA". The stretch from base 51 to 204 matches the Rfam family "5.8S ribosomal RNA". Lineage: Eukaryota; Fungi; Ascomycota; Sordariomycetes; Hypocreales; Nectriaceae. The record is from RNAcentral.